UACGAAGGGGGCUAGCGUUGUUCGGAAUUACUGGGCGUAAAGCGCGCGCAGGCGGUCUUCCAAGUCAGUGGUGAAAGCCCGGAGCUCAACCCCGGAACUGCCAUUGAAACUGUGAGACUUGAGUACGAGAGAGGUGAGUGGAAUUCCCAGUGUAGAGGUGAAAUUCGUAGAUAUUGGGAAGAACACCGGUGGCGAAGGCGGCUCACUGGCUCGUAACUGACGCUCAGGCGCGACAGCGUGGGGAUCAAACAGG
Molecule: ribosomal RNA, 253 nt
Filed under: uncultured bacterium
Lineage: Bacteria
Description: partial 16S ribosomal RNA
Rfam family: Bacterial small subunit ribosomal RNA
Source: RNAcentral